RNAcentral lists this ribosomal RNA (492 nucleotides) under uncultured bacterium. Its description in RNAcentral is "partial 16S ribosomal RNA". It matches the Rfam family "Bacterial small subunit ribosomal RNA", at positions 29 to 507 of the family's 1533-position model. The record is from RNAcentral.
AGUGAACGCUGGCGGUAGGCCUAACACAUGCCAGUCGAACGGCAGCACAGUAAGAGCUUGCUCUUACGGGUGGCGAGUGGCGGACGGGUGAGGAAUACAUCGGAAUCUACUUUUUCGUGGGGGAUAACGUAGGGAAACUUACGCUAAUACCGCAUACGACCUACGGGUGAAAGCAGGGGAUCUUCGGACCUUGCGCGAUUGAAUGAGCCGAUGUCGGAUUAGCUAGUUGGCGGGGUAAAGGCCCACCAAGGCGACGAUCCGUAGCUGGUCUGAGAGGAUGGUCAGCCACACUGGAGCUGAGACACGGUCCAGACUCCUGCGGGACGCAGCAGUGUGGAAUAUUGGACAAUGGGCGCGAGCCUGAUCCAGCCAUACCGCGUGGGUGAAGAAGGCCUUCGGGUUGUAAAGCCCUUUUGUUGGGAAAGAAAAGCAGCAGGUUAAUACCCCGCUGUUCUGACGGUACCCAAAGAAUAAGCACCGGCUAACUUCGUG